Molecule: long non-coding RNA, 333 nt
Organism: Dromiciops gliroides (monito del monte)
Lineage: Eukaryota; Metazoa; Chordata; Mammalia; Microbiotheria; Microbiotheriidae
Exons: 4
Source: RefSeq, a predicted model, not a curated record
AGGUCCCAAAGGAUCCAGAGAGCAUUGGUAAAGAAUGACAAAGCUUAAUGCGUGAACAACACAAGCAGGUGGUACAUAAAGCAACUGGCCUACGUCAAGAAGUGGGAAACAGACGGCAGAGGCGGAUGAUCCAGAUUUGAUUUAGAAGUGGAGAAGGCAGCAUCAUAACUCAGUAAACCCUGUGCACACUUGUUUGGUGGAAGCAGGACUCUGGCCUAGGAGACUUCACACGUCCAGGAAGCUUCUGUUCAGACUGGAGUUGUGAUUUGGGGAGCUAGAGUACCGAAGUCAGUUUGAAAAAGCUACAGAAAAUACCGCUAAUUCAAAUACUGG